CUACGGGGUGCAGCAGUGAGGAAUAUUGCACAAUGGGGGGAACCCUGAUGCAGCAACACCGCGUGGAGGAUGACGCAUUUCGGUGUGUAAACUCCUUUUAUAUGUCAAGAAAAUGACGGUAGCAUAUGAAUAAGCACCGGCUAACUCCGUGCCAGCAGCCGCGGUAAUACGGAGGGUGCAAGCGUUACUCGGAAUCACUGGGCGUAAAGGACGCGUAGGCGGGUUGGAAAGUCAGGUGUGAAAUCCUACAGCUUAACUGUAGAACUGCACUUGAAACUUCUAAUCUAGAGUAUGGGAGGGGGAGAUGGAAUUAGUGGUGUAGGGGUAAAAUCCGUAGAUAUCACUAGGAAUACCUAAAGCGAAGGCGAUCUCCUGGAACAUUACUGACGCUAAGGCGUGAAAGCGUGGGGAGCAAACAGGAUUAGAUACCCCUGUAGUC
RNAcentral lists this ribosomal RNA (439 nucleotides) under uncultured bacterium. RNAcentral describes it as "partial 16S ribosomal RNA". It matches the Rfam family "Bacterial small subunit ribosomal RNA", at positions 339 to 795 of the family's 1533-position model. The record is from RNAcentral.